This 2902-nucleotide ribosomal RNA is filed under the name Escherichia coli HVH 32 (4-3773988). RNAcentral's name for it is "bacterial LSU rRNA". It matches the Rfam family "Bacterial large subunit ribosomal RNA". Lineage: Bacteria; Pseudomonadati; Pseudomonadota; Gammaproteobacteria; Enterobacterales; Enterobacteriaceae. The record is from RNAcentral.
UUAAGCGACUAAGCGUACACGGUGGAUGCCCUGGCAGUCAGAGGCGAUGAAGGACGUGCUAAUCUGCGAUAAGCGUCGGUGAGGUGAUAUGAACCGUUAUAACCGGCGAUUUCCGAAUGGGGAAACCCAGUGUGUUUCGACACACUAUCAUUAACUGAAUCCAUAGGUUAAUGAGGCGAACCGGGGGAACUGAAACAUCUAAGUACCCCGAGGAAAAGAAAUCAACCGAGAUUCCCCCAGUAGCGGCGAGCGAACGGGGAGGAGCCCAGAGCCUGAAUCAGUGUGUGUGUUAGUGGAAGCGUCUGGAAAGGCGCGCGAUACAGGGUGACAGCCCCGUACACAAAAAUGCACAUAUUGUGAGCUCGAUGAGUAGGGCGGGACACGUGGUAUCCUGUCUGAAUAUGGGGGGACCAUCCUCCAAGGCUAAAUACUCCUGACUGACCGAUAGUGAACCAGUACCGUGAGGGAAAGGCGAAAAGAACCCCGGCGAGGGGAGUGAAAAAGAACCUGAAACCGUGUACGUACAAGCAGUGGGAGCCUCUUUAUGGGGUGACUGCGUACCUUUUGUAUAAUGGGUCAGCGACUUAUAUUCUGUAGCAAGGUUAACCGAAUAGGGGAGCCGAAGGGAAACCGAGUCUUAACUGGGCGUUAAGUUGCAGGGUAUAGACCCGAAACCCGGUGAUCUAGCCAUGGGCAGGUUGAAGGUUGGGUAACACUAACUGGAGGACCGAACCGACUAAUGUUGAAAAAUUAGCGGAUGACUUGUGGCUGGGGGUGAAAGGCCAAUCAAACCGGGAGAUAGCUGGUUCUCCCCGAAAGCUAUUUAGGUAGCGCCUCGUGAAUUCAUCUCCGGGGGUAGAGCACUGUUUCGGCAAGGGGGUCAUCCCGACUUACCAACCCGAUGCAAACUGCGAAUACCGGAGAAUGUUAUCACGGGAGACACACGGCGGGUGCUAACGUCCGUCGUGAAGAGGGAAACAACCCAGACCGCCAGCUAAGGUCCCAAAGUCAUGGUUAAGUGGGAAACGAUGUGGGAAGGCCCAGACAGCCAGGAUGUUGGCUUAGAAGCAGCCAUCAUUUAAAGAAAGCGUAAUAGCUCACUGGUCGAGUCGGCCUGCGCGGAAGAUGUAACGGGGCUAAACCAUGCACCGAAGCUGCGGCAGCGACACUAUGUGUUGUUGGGUAGGGGAGCGUUCUGUAAGCCUGUGAAGGUGGCCUGUGAGGGUUGCUGGAGGUAUCAGAAGUGCGAAUGCUGACAUAAGUAACGAUAAAGCGGGUGAAAAGCCCGCUCGCCGGAAGACCAAGGGUUCCUGUCCAACGUUAAUCGGGGCAGGGUGAGUCGACCCCUAAGGCGAGGCCGAAAGGCGUAGUCGAUGGGAAACAGGUUAAUAUUCCUGUACUUGGUGUUACUGCGAAGGGGGGACGGAGAAGGCUAUGUUGGCCGGGCGACGGUUGUCCCGGUUUAAGCGUGUAGGCUGGUUUUCCAGGCAAAUCCGGAAAACCAAGGCUGAGGCGUGAUGACGAGGCACUACGGUGCUGAAGCGACAAAUGCCCUGCUUCCAGGAAAAGCCUCUAAGCAUCAGGUAACAUCAAAUCGUACCCCAAACCGACACAGGUGGUCAGGUAGAGAAUACCAAGGCGCUUGAGAGAACUCGGGUGAAGGAACUAGGCAAAAUGGUGCCGUAACUUCGGGAGAAGGCACGCUGAUAUGUAGGUGAAGCGACUUGCUCGUGGAGCUGAAAUCAGUCGAAGAUACCAGCUGGCUGCAACUGUUUAUUAAAAACACAGCACUGUGCAAACACGAAAGUGGACGUAUACGGUGUGACGCCUGCCCGGUGCCGGAAGGUUAAUUGAUGGGGUUAGCGGUAACGCGAAGCUCUUGAUCGAAGCCCCGGUAAACGGCGGCCGUAACUAUAACGGUCCUAAGGUAGCGAAAUUCCUUGUCGGGUAAGUUCCGACCUGCACGAAUGGCGUAAUGAUGGCCAGGCUGUCUCCACCCGAGACUCAGUGAAAUUGAACUCGCUGUGAAGAUGCAGUGUACCCGCGGCAAGACGGAAAGACCCCGUGAACCUUUACUAUAGCUUGACACUGAACAUUGAGCCUUGAUGUGUAGGAUAGGUGGGAGGCUUUGAAGUGUGGACGCCAGUCUGCAUGGAGCCGACCUUGAAAUACCACCCUUUAAUGUUUGAUGUUCUAACGUUGGCCCGUAAUCCGGGUUGCGGACAGUGUCUGGUGGGUAGUUUGACUGGGGCGGUCUCCUCCUAAAGAGUAACGGAGGAGCACGAAGGUUGGCUAAUCCUGGUCGGACAUCAGGAGGUUAGUGCAAUGGCAUAAGCCAGCUUGACUGCGAGCGUGACGGCGCGAGCAGGUGCGAAAGCAGGUCAUAGUGAUCCGGUGGUUCUGAAUGGAAGGGCCAUCGCUCAACGGAUAAAAGGUACUCCGGGGAUAACAGGCUGAUACCGCCCAAGAGUUCAUAUCGACGGCGGUGUUUGGCACCUCGAUGUCGGCUCAUCACAUCCUGGGGCUGAAGUAGGUCCCAAGGGUAUGGCUGUUCGCCAUUUAAAGUGGUACGCGAGCUGGGUUUAGAACGUCGUGAGACAGUUCGGUCCCUAUCUGCCGUGGGCGCUGGAGAACUGAGGGGGGCUGCUCCUAGUACGAGAGGACCGGAGUGGACGCAUCACUGGUGUUCGGGUUGUCAUGCCAAUGGCACUGCCCGGUAGCUAAAUGCGGAAGAGAUAAGUGCUGAAAGCAUCUAAGCACGAAACUUGCCCCGAGAUGAGUUCUCCCUGAGACCUAGAGUCUCCUGAAGGAACGUUGAAGACGACGACGUUGAUAGGCCGGGUGUGUAAGCGCAGCGAUGCGUUGAGCUAACCGGUACUAAUGAACCGUGAGGCUUAACCUU